This is a long non-coding RNA of Acanthochromis polyacanthus (spiny chromis), 438 nucleotides long. RefSeq lists it as uncharacterized. The transcript has 3 exons. The record is from RefSeq and is a predicted model, not a curated record. Lineage: Eukaryota; Metazoa; Chordata; Actinopteri; Pomacentridae.
UUGCUUUCACACUCUUCAGUCGAUCAGCCAUGGACAAAGGUUUGCUGCUGGUCCUGUUGUGUCUGCAGGUCGUCCUGCUCACCACAGCCUUCACUUCUGCCGAUGCAGCUGCUCUGCUGAGAGAUGAUCAGCAUCAACUCCAGCCUGUUGAUCUGAUGAGAAGUCUGCAGCAAAUGAAACGAAGAAGACAGACUCGGCACCGAUUUCCACCCUGGGUAUUCUGCGGGAAGAGACGAGGAAGAUGCACUUUGACAGGAAAAGUGGAACUACCUAAACUAUCUUUAGACCAGUUUAAGCCACUCCGAAUAUAGACAUCUACAGUCAAGCUCUGCAGGAAGUGCCAUCAGAUGUAGAAGAUAGCAAAUGAAUGAAGAUAAUUGUAAUGCUUACAAAAUAAUGCAAAUGCUUUUAAUGAGAAAUAAAAGAGUUCAAAUCAGA